GCAUAUCAAUAAGCGGAGGAAAAGAAACCAACAGGGAUUGCCCUAGUAACGGCGAGUGAAGCGGCAACAGCUCAAAUUUGAAAUCUGGCUUCGGCCCGAGUUGUAAUUUGCAGAGGAAGCUUUAGGCGCGGCACCUUCUGAGUCCCCUGGAACGGGGCGCCAUAGAGGGUGAGAGCCCCGUAUAGUUGGAUGCCUAGCCUGUGUAAAGCUCCUUCGACGAGUCGAGUAGUUUGGGAAUGCUGCUCAAAAUGGGAGGUAAAUUUCUUCUAAAGCUAAAUACCGGCCAGAGACCGAUAGCGCACAAGUAGAGUGAUCGAAAGAUGAAAAGCACUUUGAAAAGAGGGUUAAAUAGCACGUGAAAUUGUUGAAAGGGAAGCGCUUGUGACCAGACUUGCGCCGGGCAGAUCAUCCGGUGUUCUCACCGGUGCACUCUGCCCGGCUCAGGCCAGCAUCGGUUCUCGCGGGGGGAUAAAGGCCCUGGGAACGUAGCUCCUCCGGGAGUGUUAUAGCCCGGGGCGUAAUGCCCUCGCGGGGACCGAGGUUCGCGCAUCUGCAAGGAUGCUGGCGUAAUGGUCAUCAGCGACCCGUCUUGAAACACGGACCAAGGAGUCAAGGUUUUGCGCGAGUGUUUGGGUGUAAAACCCGCACGCGUAAUGAAAGUGAACGUAGGUGAGAGCUUCGGCGCAUCAUCGACCGAUCCUGAUGUUUUCGGAUGGAUUUGAGUAGGAGCGUUAAGCCUUGGACCCGAAAGAUGGUGAACUAUGCUUGGAUAGGGUGAAGCCAGAGGAAACUCUGGUGGAGGCUCGCAGCGGUUCUGACGUGCAAAUCGAUCGUCAAAUCUGAGCAUGGGGGCGAAAGACUAAUCGAACCAUCUAGUAGCUGGUACCGC
RNAcentral lists this ribosomal RNA (889 nucleotides) under Chaetomium pilosum. Its description in RNAcentral is "LSU rRNA". It matches the Rfam family "Eukaryotic large subunit ribosomal RNA", at positions 38 to 960 of the family's 3401-position model. Lineage: Eukaryota; Fungi; Ascomycota; Sordariomycetes; Sordariales; Chaetomiaceae. The record is from RNAcentral.